GCAUGAGGUUUGGACGCGUCCUCGCGCUCCUACUGUUUGCUCGCGCGCGCGUGCGUGGAAGAGCGAUUUCAAAUACAAAGAAGUAACGGCUCCAUUCCUCAAAGAGAGUAAGAAACAACCGCUGCGCAAGAAAAUCCAGUAUGACUUCUCUGAAAGUCUCAAAAGCUUCACAGAGCAGCAAUAUCAGUUAAUGAAGAAAUGUGGCUCUGUAGUGGACACCUGUGAGGCAGAGGACAGACAGCUGCUGAUGUCUGAUGCUGGCUGACAAUAAACAGACCUCUCUGGACGUACCCCAUCUUUCGCAGCCUACACAUAAUCUCAGAAUAGCUGUGGUAAUAACAGGAAACCCAUUAGAUGAGAGCGGCACUGCAGACUUUCCUGAUGGAGGAGAUCAUGGACAAUUUUCACAAGACUGAUGAUGUGUUUCAGCUGUGUUUGUAUCGUAAAUCCUCACAAUGUUUGUAUAUAUAUAUAUAUAUAUAUUUUUUUUUUUUUAAUUAUGUGCAUUUAUAACACUAUACUUUGUAUUAUAUCACAUUCAUAUCAAAUUACAGAAAAAAAUAGUUAAUGCUAAUGCAAGGGUGUUUCUAAUCCAAGAGUCUUUGGGAGGGAUGCUAAAUUUGACAUUGUUCUCUCUUCUGACUGCUGUUAUCAGUCUCUGUCAGAUUUUUUCCUUUGAUUGAAAGUUGUGAGAAUGCUAUUGUAGAGUUUUUCAUUUUGCUAUUUGAGUAAAUGAGAAUGCAAAAAUAUAUUUGUGAUACUCUCCCAUUCACUGCUCUCGAAGUUAACCCAACUAUAACAACUUAUGCUGCUGAGAAACUGGUUUAUUAAGCGAAAUACAGCUAUCUUGAGGCUUAUCAAUUUCUUGAAAUGUCCUGUGUGAAUUCUCCCAAUCAGUCACCACUAUUUAGAACAGAAAAUAAUAUGCUAAUUGCAUUGCUAUUGCUAUUAAUUGCAUUGUAUCUAAAAUUUAAAUCAUGGUUUAAGGUACAUAAAAUGUUUUUUAAAGUUCUAAGAUUGAGUCACAUUUAUUUGUUUCUAAUAUUACCAAGGUGUAAAUGCUUUUUUGUUGUUGUUGUUGUUUAUAGCAGUAUUAACACUGAUGUUGCCAUGAAUGGGAUUGUGAUGUGCAGUAUUGCGUUUAUGGAUAUUGUUGUUGUUUAUCAAUAAACUGUUUUAUACCAUUUGUUUUAUUUUUAAUCAUUAAAAAGGUCAAUAGCAGGACAAAUAAACCAGUGGGGGGCAUUAAAGAACUGAAAUUAGGGAAAUGGUGCCUUGAAGCACCCCAGGUGGUUCCUGGCCAUCAUAAUAAAAGGGUUCCUCAAGGAACCAUUGAAAGUUCCUCAGAGAACCACCCCCAUUUAGAGCGGUGCCUAGAGGCUCUUCAGACGGUUCCGCCGGUGUGGCGAAGUGAAGAACCCCAAAAGGUGCCUCCAGGAACAACUUUUUACAGUGUAGCAUAUGGAACAAGCAAUUUAGUCAUGCACCUUUUGUUUUAAGAGAUUCUGAAUUUAGAGAUGUACAAUACUCUUAAGAGAUAGUUACCCCCCCCCCACCC
This is a long non-coding RNA of Carassius auratus (goldfish), 1558 nucleotides long. RefSeq lists it as uncharacterized. The record is from RefSeq and is a predicted model, not a curated record. The transcript has 5 exons. Lineage: Eukaryota; Metazoa; Chordata; Actinopteri; Cypriniformes; Cyprinidae.